RNAcentral lists this ribosomal RNA (433 nucleotides) under uncultured bacterium. RNAcentral's name for it is "partial 16S ribosomal RNA". It matches the Rfam family "Bacterial small subunit ribosomal RNA", at positions 29 to 507 of the family's 1533-position model. The record is from RNAcentral.
AGCGAACGCUGGCGGCAGGCCUAACACAUGCAAGUCGAACGAACUCUUCGGAGUUAGUGGCGGACGGGUGAGUAACACGUGGGAACGUGCCUUUUGGUUCGGAAUAACUCAGGGAAACUUGUGCUAAUACCGAAUGUGCCCUUCGGGGGAAAGAUUUAUCGCCAUUAGAGCGGCCCGCGUCUGAUUAGCUAGUUGGUGAGGUAACGGCUCACCAAGGCGACGAUCAGUAGCUGGUCUGAGAGGAUGACCAGCCACACUGGGACUGAGACACGGCCCAGACUCCUACGGGAGGCAGCAGUGGGGAAUCUUGCGCAAUGGGCGAAAGCCUGACGCAGCCAUGCCGGGGGAAUGAUGAAGGUCUUAGGAUUGUAAAAUUCUUUCACCGGGGACGAUAAUGACGGUACCCGGAGAAGAAGCCCCGGCUAACUUCGUG